GAAUUCGCCCUUAGAGUUUGAUCCUGGCUCAGGACGAACGCUGGCGGCGUGCCUAACACAUGCAAGUCGAACGGAGAUAUUUAUUUCGGUAGAUAUCUUAGUGGCGCACGGGUGAGUAACGCGUGAAUAACCUGACCCGAAGAGGGGGAUAACACCUGGAAACAAGUGCUAAUACCGCAUAAGACCACGGACCGGCAUCGGUCAGAGGUCAAAGGAGGAAUCCGCUUUGGGAGGGGUUCGCGUCCCAUUAGGUAGUUGGUGAGGUAACGGCCCACCAAGCCGACGAUGGGUAGCCGAGCUGAGAGGCUGAUCGGCCACACUGGAACUGAGACACGGUCCAGACUCCUACGGGAGGCAGCAGUGGGGAAUAUUGGGCAAUGGGCGCAAGCCUGACCCAGCAACGCCGCGUGAGGGAAGAAGGUUUUCGGAUUGUAAACCUCUGUCGCAGGGGACGAAGGAAGUGACGGUACCCUGUAAGAAAGCCCCGGCUAACUACGUGCCAGCAGCCGCGGUAAUACGUAGGGGGCGAGCGUUGUCCGGAAUUACUGGGCGUAAAGGGAGCGUAGGCGGUCGAUUAAGUUAGAUGUGAAACCCCCGGGCUUAACUUGGGGACUGCAUCUAAUACUGGUUGACUUAGAGUACAGGAGAGGGAAGCGGAAUUCCUAGUGUAGCGGUGAAAUGCGUAGAUAUUAGGAGGAACACCAGUGGCGAAGGCGGCUUUCUGGACCGACACUGACGCUGAGGCUCGAAAGCGUGGGGAGCAAACAGGAUUAGAUACCCUGGUAGUCCACGCUGUAAACGAUGAAUACUAGGUGUAGGGGGUAUCAACUCCCUCUGUGCCGCAGCAAACGCAAUAAGUAUUCCGCCUGGGGAGUACGGCCGCAAGGUUGAAACUCAAAGGAAUUGACGGGGGCCCGCACAAGCAGCGGAGCAUGUGGUUUAAUUCGAAGCAACGCGAAGAACCUUACCAAGUCUUGACAUCUCCCUGACAGAGUAUGUAAUGUACUUUUCCUUCGGGACAGGGAAGACAGGUGGUGCAUGGUUGUCGUCAGCUCGUGUCGUGAGAUGUUGGGUUAAGUCCCGCAACGAGCGCAACCCUUAUCCUCAGUAGCCAGCGGUUCGGCCGGGCACUCUGUGGAGACUGCCAGGGAUAACCUGGAGGAAGGUGGGGAUGACGUCAAAUCAUCAUGCCCCUUAUGACUUGGGCUACACACGUGCUACAAUGGCGUAAACAAAGGGAAGCAAGAGAGCGAUCUGGAGCAAAUCCCAAAAAUAACGUCCCAGUUCGGAUUGUAGUCUGCAACUCGACUACAUGAAGCUGGAAUCGCUAGUAAUCGCGAAUCAGAAUGUCGCGGUGAAUACGUUCCCGGGUCUUGUACACACCGCCCGUCA
Molecule: ribosomal RNA, 1392 nt
Filed under: uncultured bacterium
Lineage: Bacteria
Description: bacterial SSU rRNA
Rfam family: Bacterial small subunit ribosomal RNA
Source: RNAcentral